Molecule: unclassified non-coding RNA, 2353 nt
Filed under: Stegodyphus dumicola
Lineage: Eukaryota; Metazoa; Arthropoda; Arachnida; Araneae; Eresidae
Description: U8 snoRNA-decapping enzyme-like, transcript variant X6
Source: RNAcentral
UUAAACUUUGUUGACAACUGAUGCCGCGAUUUGUUUCGAAGCGUUGCCGUUCAGGAAUGUGUAAUUUUAAGGCUCACGUAAAAUUACAAUGGUGACCAUCAAAAUUCUUUGCUAUCAUUUUGCAUUGCAUAAAUUUUUUGAACAUUUCACUGCAGAACUUUUAAUUGCGACAGUAAUACCCGCGUCGGUUUUGAUUAUAAUUAUAAGCGACAUUACUUCGAAGGAACAUGGUUAUGUGUGCGAGCUUUCUAAUUUAUUACUUCAGUGUAUAGUUGUAAUUAGCACAAACCUCCUUGAAUUAGCAUGUAAGUAUGUUUCGGAUGCAAAAUUCGCAUCUACUUUCAACGAAGAAGUCAACCCGGGAUUUCUUCAGAUGCAACUUCGUUUUGAUGGCUGCAUUGGAUUUCCUGGUGGUAUAAUUGAAGAAGGAACAAAUAUAGUAAAAGGAUUGAAUCGAGAGCUUGAGGAAGAAAUAAAUUUGAAUUCAAAAUAUUUCGUUACAGAUGAAAAUCACUUAUUCAGUCAUGUGAAUAUUGAGGCAAAAACAUGUUUUCAUUUCUAUGGAAAGGAAGUAUCCAAAGAAGAAUUUCAGCAUAUCGAAAAAAAUGCACUAGAUGCACGGGACUAUGGUAUUGAGACUUUUGGCAUGAUUAGAGUUCCUCUAUUUACAAUGCAAGAUGGAAUUCGUGGAUUUCCAACAUUUCUGAAAAACUGUUUUAUAGAAGAUUGUUGACUCAUAGUGUUGCAAAUAAAAAGAAGGAAGCCAUGGCCAUCGAAAGUAAGAAAUAAAUCAUAGAUAAACAGGUGUGCUUGGGUACAAGAGACGGAAUCGGCGAAGACUUGCAUUCGACAGCGACUAUCUGCACUAUUCUGAAGAAGAAGGAAGAAAUUAAGAAACUUGAUGUGGCCAAAGGAGUUACUGUUACAUCCCAGCACCAUCCAAAACUCCUAGAUGUUGUUGGCGUGGAUUAACGAGAAGCAGUUAAAAGGCAAUUCGGUGUUGGAAGCUAUCAUAAAGAUCUUCUGCAUUGCUUAUUUGACUAUAAACUACAAUUUAGAAGAUUCUCUUUACCUGAAGAAAUGAAAUGAUUACAAAAAAUACGUUACAAAUAAAUUCAGAAAGUUCCAGCUACAGAAAUACACUCAUAUCCAUAAAUUAAGGAUAACUCAGAAUCAUAUGAAAAUCAAACUCUAAACUAAAAAUUUCACCUGUAAAAUUAUCACACACACAUCUUCAAAAAUAAUAUUCAAAUUACAGGAAGUCAUCAGGUGACACCAAUAGUACAUCACAAUGAUGAGAGUGUAAGACAAGUAUAUAUAAGGAAUGGUAAUAAAGAAGUAAAAUUGUUCACAAACACUCUGUAAGCCACUCAGUGCCACAGAGGAGGCACGUGAAUGAUUUUUUACAAGGAAGUAUCCAAAGAACUUGGAAUAACCCCAAAGUGUCAUCUCUAGGCUUUGGCAUCAGUAUUUGGUAGUAACUGCCAAAAGAAGCAGACAGAGCACAGCAUCAGACCUGCUUCGUCAGCUAUCUUCAGCCAAGGGUAUGACAAUUUCGAGGCAAACUGUGUACAAAAGUUUGGGACAGAUUAGUCUGUAUGCUCGCAAGGCCUGUCAGAUGUUUUUGCUCACGGCAACUCAGUGUCGCCAGCAGUAGACAACAUGCAAUGUGGACAUCGUCACACUGGGCUUGCGUAAUGAUUCAUGUUGGACUUUCAUAUGGAGAACUUCAGGUACCCACUGCCACCAAGACAUCAUUAAACGACACUGUUACGAUGGUGCAGGAUUGCUUGUUUGGGGUGGAAUUAUACAAGGGUCCAAGAACAGAUCUGUAUGUUACCGUGAUAGGCCAAAUUUAUCGAAACAUCACCCUGAAACAACAUGUAUGUCUGUUUAGAGGUGCCAUGGGUGCAGAAUUUGUGUUUAAAGAUGAUGCGCCCAUCCUCACCAUGCAAACAUUGUAAAGGAAUGCCUUCAGUUUGAGGAUAUCAACCGUAUGGAAUGGCAAGUAUUCUCACUUGACUUGAAUCCAAUAGAACAUGUGUGGGACAUGCUAAUUGCAGCCCAUUAAGUAGCUCCUACAUGUGACUGGAACUUUAGAGAGCAUUGCGUGGAAUAAUCUUUCCCAAGAUCAGCUUGACAAUUUGAUACUCAGCAUGCCCUAGGCAUUGUACAGAGUGUAUUUCAUCGUCUGGGAGACAUACAAUGUAUUAACCAUCAUACCAACUAUAUAAUGUUGAGUUUUUGUAAAAGAUAUUUUUUAUAAUUGCUACUGGGAGCACAACUCCUAGUUUUUAUGAAUGGUAUCAUACAUACAUCGUCUCUUUUGUUUAAUAAAUGGGCUUAUGAAUAA